RNAcentral lists this ribosomal RNA (537 nucleotides) under uncultured bacterium. RNAcentral's name for it is "partial 16S ribosomal RNA". It matches the Rfam family "Bacterial small subunit ribosomal RNA", at positions 355 to 902 of the family's 1533-position model. The record is from RNAcentral.
UGGGGAAUAUUGCACAAUGGGCGAAAGCCUGAUGCAGCGACGCCGCGUGAGGGAUGACGGCCUUCGGGUUGUAAACCUCUUUCAGCAGGGAAGAAGCGAAAGUGACGGUACCUGCAGAAGAAGCGCCGGCUAACUACGUGCCAGCAGCCGCGGUAAUACGUAGGGCGCAAGCGUUGUCCGGAAUUAUUGGGCGUAAAGAGCUCGUAGGCGGUUAGUCGCGUCUGCUGUGAAAACUCGAGGCUCAACCUCGGGCUUGCAGUGGGUACGGGCUGACUAGAGUGCGGUAGGGGUGACUGGAAUUCCUGGUGUAGCGGUGGAAUGCGCAGAUAUCAGGAGGAACACCGAUGGCGAAGGCAGGUCACUGGGCCGCAACUGACGCUGAGGAGCGAAAGCAUGGGGAGCGAACAGGAUUAGAUACCCUGGUAGUCCAUGCCGUAAACGUUGGGCACUAGGUGUGGGGUCCAUUCCACGGAUUCCGUGCCGCAGCAAACGCAUUAAGUGCCCCGCCUGGGGAGUACGGCCGCAAGGCUAAAACUC